Molecule: ribosomal RNA, 795 nt
Filed under: Clostridioides difficile
Lineage: Bacteria; Bacillati; Bacillota; Clostridia; Peptostreptococcales; Peptostreptococcaceae
Description: partial 23S ribosomal RNA
Rfam family: Bacterial large subunit ribosomal RNA
Source: RNAcentral
UUUAACUGAGCGUUCAGUUACUUGACGUAGACCCGAAACCGGGCGACCUACCCAUGAGCAGGAUGAAGCGAAAGUAAAAUUUCGUGGAGGUCCGAACCCACGAGCGUUGAAAAGCUCGGGGAUGACUUGUGGGUAGCGGUGAAAUUCCAAUCGAGCCCGGAGAUAGCUGGUUCUCCCCGAAAUAGCUUUAGGGCUAGCCUCAAGGUGAGAGAUACGGAGGUAGAGCACUGAAUGUCCUAGGGGGUAUUGCACCUACCGAAGACUAUCAAACUCCGAAUGCCGUCAUCUUAUACUUGGGAGUCAGACUGUGGGUGAUAAGAUUCAUAGUCGAAAGGGCAACAGCCCAGAUCGUCAGCUAAGGUCCCUAAAUGUAAGUUAAGUGGUAAAGGAUGUGGGAUUGCACAGACAACCAGGAUGUUGGCUUAGAAGCAGCCACUCAUUCAAAGAGUGCGUAAUAGCUCACUGGUCGAGUGAUCCUGCGCCGAAGAUUUCCGGGGCUAAAACUUACUACCGAAGCUACGGCAUCAGUAAUGAUGGGUAGGGGAGCUUCCCAUACGGGUUGAAGCAUGACCGUAAGGACAUGUGGACAGUAUGGGAGUGAGAAUGUUGGCAUGAGUAGCGAGAUGUGGGUGAGAAUCCCACAGGCCGUAAACCCAAGGUUUCCAGGGGAAGGUUCGUCCGCCCUGGGUUAGUCGGGACCUAAGCUGAGGCCGAAAGGCGUAGGUGAUGGACAACAGGUUGAUAUUCCUGUACUACCGAUAACCGUUUGAGAGAAGGGAUGACACAGUAGGAUAA